This 240-nucleotide ribosomal RNA is filed under the name uncultured bacterium. RNAcentral describes it as "partial 16S ribosomal RNA". It matches the Rfam family "Bacterial small subunit ribosomal RNA", at positions 118 to 347 of the family's 1533-position model. The record is from RNAcentral.
UGGGUAAUCUGCCCUCGAUUCUGGGAUAGCCCGGGGAAACCCGGAUUAAUACCGGAUAGCCUCUUUAGCUUUCGGGCUUUUGAGAAAAGGAAGCUUCGGCCUCCGCAUUGGGAUGGGCCCGCGGCCCAUUAGCUUGUUGGUGAGGUAACGGCUCACCAAGGCUUCGAUGGGUAGCUGGUCUGAGAGGACGAUCAGCCACACUGGGACUGAGACACGGCCCAGACCUCCGUACGGGAGCAG